CUCAUUCUUUGCACAUACCCCCCUUUCCUUCCCUCCCCCUCCGUGGUUUGUGUGUGUGUGUGUGUGCUUGCGUGCGGCUGAGUGGCGUAGUUGUGUGUGAGCGUCUUCGGCGGUCUUUCAGCAACAGCACGUCAUCGCCGUCUGUCUUCUCCGCAGCCAAACACACGCUUGGGAAUCCCGCCGUUUUACCACACCCGCCCGCUCCCUCCCUCCUCCGCUGUACCUCCCCCAUCCUUCGUGUUUUCCCACACAUCAAGGAUUUUACGAGGCGUACGUACACACGCGCAAAACAAACAAGCAAAAAAAAACAUCGGCCCCGUCUUCCCUGUGUGUGUGUGUGCACGUCCUCUACGACGAUCACCACCAACACCCCUCUCCACUCGCCUUCAUUCAGUCUCUCUCUCUCCUGCCCGCACCCCCUACCACCUCCUCAUCUCCCUCAUACCUCAUUCCGACGUGCACGCCGUCACUUGUGGAUUUGGGCUUCGCCCCCCCCCCCCCCGUCUGUCUGUCUCUCCUCCUCCUUUUACGCGCCCCGGGCCUUUUGUAGCGUAUCCGCCUUGUCUGCUCGAGGCCCUGCCGAGAUACGCACGCGCAUCGUUUUGCACACUGCGCCUUUGGAUUGCUUUCCCCACACCUCGUUUAUAUAUAUAGUUAUAUACAGCUAUUAUAGUGUAUUAUAUAUAUAUAUAUAUAUAUCGUCUCUCUCUAUAUCCCCCCCUCAUCUGCCCUUUUUCUCGUUUGUCGUGUCGUGUCUCUGAGUGCGUGUGUGUGCUCAUCCUUUUUUUUUUUUCGUGUCUUCGUUGCGCUUGUGGUGGGCUCGCCCAUCUCUGUGUUUGCCGUCUCUCGCCUCUCCUUCCGGUGUGGGCUGGACCUUCCUUUCACCUUGUCGUCCUCGCCUUCGCCACUCAUCUCAUAGUAGCGCGCUCUCUGAGUGCCUAUCGGUGUAGACCUGUGCUGGUGUGCAGUGCGUGCAGCGACGCUGCCCCCUUCCCCUCCCUCUCUCUGCCGCCUCUGCGGACAGCGGGGUGUGCUUUUGCCGAUUCAAUUCCGAGACAGACGGUAGAAAGUACACGUAAAAGGGGGAGGGCGAAAGGGGAGAGCGCGCGCACGUGCCAAACAGACGAGGCGGCAGCAGCGACAAGCCCAAACACCGCAGAAGGGGAGGGGGAAAGUGCCCGCCCGCCCGCCAGAGCGCGCGUGAAAAAAAGAGGGGAGGAAGAGGAGGAGGAGGGAGGGGGCGGAGUUGCGCGACGCGCCGUACGAGGUUACGAGCAAGAUUUUCUCGCUCUUUGCCCUUUCAGCUUUUGUGUUGUUUCCUUGGCUGCGGUAGAUCUCUGCGCUGACUCUGUGUAGCCACUUCUCCCUCUAUAUAGCUGCAGCUAUAGAUAUCUAUCUAUCUAUAUAUAUAUAUAUCUUGAUUUGUAUAUCUGUCUCUUUCGCAUUGCCAUCCUCCGUCUGCGUCGCUCUCUCUCACUUUUCUGUGCAUACCUUUUCCAUUCUCGCCCUUCCUUUUUCCUUCUUAGGCCUUUGUUCUUUGCGUUUGUUUGCUCUCCCCCGUUUCUCCUGUGGCCCUUUUCCGUGGUUUGUGCCGUGCCGCACUUUAUAUAGCUGCGCUUCGCUUUCCUCUGGGUGCCUUCGCCGCCACCCCCCUACUCUCUCCCCCAUCUCUUUUAUUUUUUUUUCCCCUCUGUCUGCACCUCUCGCGUCUUUCUCUCUUCGUAUAAUCUUAUUUUCUUCUUAUGUGUCGUACGUUGGACAGAUUUUUCUGCUCCCUCUUCUCUCUUCCACCUUUUUCCCUACCUCAUCAUCCCCAGCAUUGUAUCCUCUCAUCUUUAUUCUUCAAACCGCUACGUGUGUGUGUGCGUGUGUGUGACUGUCCAAAAAACUUUGGUCACUCUCACAGACAGUCAGGGCCCCAAGUAGCUCAAAGCAAGCUACGACGUGGUGCACGCUUCACGGCGCCUGUUGCAAACACAGAAAAAAAGAACAACUCCAAAAGGGAAGCAAAUCACCACGCUGGAGCCCGUAUGCGGCUGGCGAGUCAACGCAACUGAAACAAGCGAAAGCCACCUUGGAGUAGCUCAGGCGCGCACAACCAUGUCCUUCCGCCGCCCGCCCCCAGUGAGGCGGUCGUGCACGUAUGUCGAGUUCGCGCAGGCCGGAGAGGAUGUUACUCCGGAGCGCAACUUCACCGUUCCUGAUGUGAUGGAUAGUGACAGCGUGACAGUCGACACUGGGGGACCCACUGCUUCGCCAAACGCCCCCGCUCGCGUGCGCUCACCGGAGCAUCCCCGGCGGCGCAGCACCGUACGCAUUGACGGCGCGACUCUGCCGCAGCAGGGAGCUUCCCCCUCCACGUCGUUGCAGCAACUCUGCCGCCCCUCCGUGAGUGAGUGUCGCCGGCGCGGCUCGCUGUCGGCGAGUGGCACACAUGCAUCUCUUCGCCGUUUCUCCCGGCCGAACACGGUGGAGGUGUCGAAGGACUAUCUGCAGUCCGUAGCGGAGGCGCACGGCGUCACUGUAGAGCAUGUGCGCGACGUUAUGAUUGCCGCUCAGGGCGACACCGACCUCAUGCUGGCAAUUCUCCAGAGCGAAAUGGAUGUGCAGCUUGCCUCGCCGGCGAACAUCGACGUGCUGCACUUCGGAACGCAAGAGACAGUACGCCGACUGCUUCUCUUCCUCGAGCUGCCGCGGGAGUGGGAGGGCGAGGUGGUGCGGACGCUGAACGUCACCAACGGCGACGCACAGGAGGCGGCCGCCAUCCUCGCACAGAAAUCUGGCCAGAGGUCCGUCUCGCUGCCGAACGAUGUCACAGCGUCUCGCCAGCAGGUGCUCACAGCCACAGAGGCUGAGGAGCUGCCGCUGCUGCUGCAGCGUCUAGGUCAAAGCCCCAAUGGUGAGACGCGCCAGUUGCAGGCCGAGUUCCCGGACCGCACUACGGAUGAAAUCCGCACGGCGUUGCAGCUGACAGACGGCAACAUGGAGAACGCACGCGUCUUCUUGCGAGAGGAUCACACAGCGUCAAAGAACAGCAACAGGGACGCCAUAAGCAACAUCUUUGCUCGCGCCGCUGCGACACGUGGGUCACGGCCGCGGCCGGACCACCGCAAGGAGAUUGAAGCUGUAUACCACAAGCUCAACGGCGCCGUCGGCAUCAGCAACAGCGCGGCCGAGGUCAUCGACGUCGCCACCGGCGAGGACGUCGUGAAGACGAGUCUGUCGCCGCAGGAUUUUCAACUCUACCGCAGCAGCGGCGGCGGCGGCGGUGGCUGCACGGCUGCUGAGGGCGCCGAUAGCGCGAGUCGGCAGCAGCCCGUGUCCCGGAGCGGAGGUUCGACCCCAACCGCAUCCACCUUGAACGCUUUUGCCUUUACCAAAACUGCGCCAUCGUUGUUGACACCAGACACGGGCGCAUCGCGUGGAUCGGAUAAGGCGCACGACUUGCGUCGCCCGCACCCACGACCGCUCUCCCCGGCGAUGUCCAUGACGACGCCGCCCUUCUCCGACCGCGGUACGAGUGGGACACGUCAUCCAUCGAACGCGACUCGCUUGAACGUUAUGCGGGCCUCCUCGCACGAGUUGCCGUCUGCGGCAGCCGUCGCCGACACGAUUCAACAUGCAGCACUGCCCGCAAAGCGGUCGCGUCGACCAUCCCUGUCGCGAGAGGCGAAGAAUGUGUCGACGCGCCUCGCAGGCCGCCUUGAUCUGCCGUCGCUGCAUGUAGUGCGAACCGGCGGCGGCGCUGCCGAAACUGGCAGUUCGGCCGCCGCCCUCAACGACUCUACCAGCACUUCCGCCGCCGACAGCAGUGUCAGCGGGCACUCCAGUAGACGCUCGCCGCCAUCGCCGCACUCUGCGAGGGUGAUCGCUCCUCGCCGUUCGAGCGUUGCAGCGGUGAACCUGAAUGACUAUCGCGGCUCAGGCGCCGCUGCAGAGGCGAGGAGGGCAGACCACGCGUGGAACAGCGCAGUCGGUAGUGCGGCAGGCAGUAGCGGCACGUACUUUGCAUCCGUAGCGCCUGGGUCGGCUCUCAUCGCGUCGCAGCAGCUUACUGGCCAGCCGUUCCACUCGCCGCAUACGGAGAGCCUGCUUAACAGUGUCCUUAGUCAGCUUGGCAAGAACACAGAGAGCCAUCAGGACAAGGAGCAGCAGCGGCGACAACACCAGCUGUCCUCGGAGCUUGUAGACACGACUUCUCUUCGGCCAUUUUGGCCGGCCAGCAGCGCUGAUAACAACAGCACAUCCGUGCCCGCCAGCGGCGUCUCGUCGCCAACGCCAACGGCGCCGCCACCGCCACCACCACCCGCGAGCUCUGCCACAGCGCCGACUGCGGCGGGCCCUGCUCCUCCUCCCGGCUUGCCUCCACCUCCGCCACCGCCAGGGUACAAAGCAGGUGGCCCCGCUAGCUCUGCGCCGCUGCCGCCGCCACCCCCACCACCCGGCGGCAGUGGCGUUCCGAGCCUUCCUGCGGGUUUGCCUCCACCACAUCCGCCUGGCCUCCCUCCUCCGACAGGCGGGCCCAAGCAACCGCCACCGCCGCCACCGCCGCCACCGCCGCCACCGCCGCCACCGCCGCCACCGCCACGGAUGGGUAACGGGCCACCGCCACCACCAGGAAAGGGCGCGAGCGGCGCAGCAGCCCCGGUGCCAAACAGCAGCACAACGCGCAACGUGCCGAUCAACGGCGCCGUCGGUGACUCCGAUGACGCCAUCUUCAAGGCUGCGCGGCCAAUCGAGCUGACAGCCGGGGCGCGUGAUAAGCUGCUUGCCCUCUUCCCAAAGGCGGCGCCAAAGCACGCGAUAGAGGAGGACGAGGCGACGUCGCGCGUGCAGCGCAUUCUCGAUGUGAACCGUGAUCGAAACGUCGGCAUUGUGCUGAAGUUCAUUCGGCUGCCCAUUCAGCAGAUCGAGGCGAGUGUGCGCACAUUCGACACCCUGACGCUCGGCGAGGAGCGCAUCUCCGGCCUUCUCAAGAUCAUUCCCACUUCGGACGACUUCGAGGCCAUUGCGCGGGCACAGAAGGAGCACGGCGGCCCGUGGAAGCGUGCAGAGGAACAGCAGCUGCCGCAAGCCGUCCGCUUCUUCCUCAUGACCCAGCGCAUCGACCACUACGCCGAGCGCAUCCAUGCCUGGAGUCUGCGGUACGAGCUGCAUGGGCGGCUCGAGUACCUGGAACAGAAGCUGAGCAAGGCGGAUAAGGCGAUUGACGCCACCUUCGCCUCCCCGUCGCUGCCGGACCUGCUGUACUUCCUUCUCGAGGUGAGCAAUUUCCUGAACGCUGGCAGCCGCUUCCAGGGUGCCAAGGGGUUCCCCAUCACGCAGUUGCCGCAAAUCAUGGACUUUAGGACAACAGACGGCAAAGGCACCUUACUGCAGUACGUGGCUGAAAUAUUGGACACAGUGAACCCGCACCUGCAGGCGAUUUCGAGCGAACUGAUGCCGGCCGUCGACGAGGGUCGUGACAUUGACGUUGCCAGCAUUGAGCAGGAACUCAAGAAGCUGCGGGGCCGCCUGCAGAAGUGCAAGCAUCUGAUUGAGCAGCUGAAGAACGAUGUGCGCUGGACGAACGUGCUCGGCAAGUUCAUUUACCGCUCGCUACCGGAGCUGGAGCGCGUCGAGAAGCUGGCGGAGUCGAUCAACGGUAAGGCGGAGCGCCUGCAGGAGUUCCUGUGCGAGAAGAAAGAGACUUUUUCGCUGAAUGAGGUGCUGCGGGUUUUGUCCAACUUCUGCAAAAGGUACGAGCAGGAGCGUGAGAAGCAACGACUACGGCAGGAGCGUCAGGACCGCAUGGAGGAUAACAAGCAGCGGCGGCAGAGCACAGUGUCCAGCACUGUGGCGAGCCACGGUGACUUGCCGUCGCAGACGCAGCCCGAGUCAUCAUCACAGCAACGGCGGUUCAGCCAGCAGCCGUUGCAGCAGUCCCCGCAGAGGCAGUCCCCAUCCCUGCAGGCGAGCUCGAACGGCGCGGACUGUGUUAGGGCCACUCCUGACGCUGAGUUCAGCACCAGCCGCCUCCGCGGCGGUGCGAGCCUACGGGCUUCUGGGAUUGCCCCCGCUAGCCGUUCCGAUGGCAGCCUCGGCACCGCCGAGCACGGGAGAUCGAACCCGCCACACAGCAAUGGAAUUGGUGCCGCAAACGGAACUGAGGACCGUACAUCACCACCGGUGGACCGAACUAGCAGCGGCAGCACCCCCGCCAACAGCAACACGGGUGGCGGCUAUCGCCGACGUUUCAGCAACGGCGAAGUGAAGCAACCCGGUGCCAGCACUACCGUCGUUUCAGCUCGUGGACCUCCACCGAGCUCGAGUGCCCGUGCCGGCACGGGCACGGUCGGAGGAGAAGUAUUGCCGCCUGUAGGCAAGUCUCCGGUAGCCCUAUCUGCGCGCGCCUCAAACAGCGGGCGCACCCACGUUGAGAGCGCCCGACGAGAUGCUCGACAAACAUAAGGAGAGAGGCGGAGGGACGGGGGAAUAGGGAGGGCGGUGAUUAUGGAGCUGUCUUCUUAAGCUCUGCAGCUCUUUUGCCUUCUGAUGCAUGUCGCUCUCUUGUGCAUCGGGUGACUCUGCUAUCUGCAUUGAUGGCGCAUGCGUGUUGCAUGCGUGUCUGAGGGAAUAGUGGGAUAGGUAGAUGGAGACACACCGGCGCCAAGAGCGGGAGAGCAAGCCUGACGGGAAGGCUGGCGCGAAACGUUGUUCCUCAUGCGGCACACCCCCUUCCCUUCUCCGCCUUCUCUCUUCUGUGCUGUUCUCGUCUCUGUGCGCUAUGUGUCUGCGUUGCAGUCGCUGACCCCAGCCUCACGUUUUCCUAUUCCACCAACUCUCCUCUUGUCACCUCUUCCGCUCUUCUCACGGCGUGUGCGUGCGCGUGUACUCCAUUCUCGCCAGCCCCUCCUGCCUCCCGGCCACCACCUCCUCCUCUGCCCUUUUCAUAGUUCAAGUUUGUUUCGCUCGCACAUACCCCUCCCUCCCUUUCCCUGCCUCUCCGCUUCAUCGAAUUCCCUUGUCUUCUCUUUUUCCGAGCAUUCCGGCCCCUGUCCCUUACUCCUUUCACGAGGGAGGGGGAGGAGGAGGGCAGAAGACCUCAUCGUUCACGGGAUCUCUGUCCUUUUCCACCGGUGUGCCUUUUCUGUGGUUCGUAGUAUUGCUUUGUCUUGUCAGUUGGUGUCCCGCUUGUGCGCGUGCACUCGCCCUUGUGGAGGCGGUGAUGGUGGUACACAUAUAUGCAUAUAUAUGUAUAGGUGCGCAUAUGUAUGCGUAUAUAUGCAUGUAUACGUGUGUGUGUAUAAUGCGCAAUGCAUAUAGUGGGCACGUACAAUACAUAUAUACACAGCGGCACAUUGACACCGUCAUUGAUGCACACGUAUACAGACACAUGUAUAUGUAUACGCAUAUACGUGUGCGCUUUGUUUUCGUUCUUUUUGUAUUGCCCCCACCCCCUCCCUCUCCCUCUCCCCUUUGUUCUCCUCUCUCCCGCUGCCCUCUGCCCUCCUCGUCCUCUUUCGCGCUGCCGCGCGUCACUCUUGUGUCUCUCCCUUGCGAUGAGGACAGACGACGACAACAGCAGGCCGCAACAGGGGGGGGGAUGAGCAACACAUGAACCAUGUUUUCUUCGUUUGCGUGACGAGUGGGCGACGAUGACGUCCAUCGAAAAGACACGCACACAAACACGCAACUAAACAUGGAAACACGGAAGGAAGCACACCAGAAGAUUGGGUAUCGCCCUUGACAAUACCAGCCCUAAGCGUCCAGAAAUGGAGGCGACAGAAAGUGCACGUGGAUGCGCUUUUUCUUUUUUUUUUUUGCGUGGGAGGUGAUGUGAGAUGGUGUAUGGGCGCAAGUAUGUUCCCAUAACAGCCUGCCACGGCAUCGGAGCCGACGUGCGUGGCUUGAUGAAUGCGCAGCGAAGGGGGCAAGAGGCGGAGGACGCGACUAAGUCUUCUGCUCUUUCGAACCCCCUUUUUUUGGUGAGUUACGUUACUCUGGCCCCAGGCAGAUCUG
RNAcentral lists this unclassified non-coding RNA (8001 nucleotides) under Leishmania donovani. RNAcentral's name for it is "gene:LdHU3.17.1460(CDS-product:formin_putative)". Lineage: Eukaryota; Euglenozoa; Kinetoplastea; Trypanosomatida; Trypanosomatidae. The record is from RNAcentral.